CUACGGGUGGCAGCAGUGGGGAAUAUUGCACAAUGGGCGCAAGCCUGAUGCAGCCAUGCCGCGUGUGUGAAGAAGGCCUUCGGGUUGUAAAGCACUUUCAGCGGGGAGGAAGGCGGUGAGGUUAAUAACCUCAUCGAUUGACGUUACCCGCAGAAGAAGCACCGGCUAACUCCGUGCCAGCAGCCGCGGUAAUACGGAGGGUGCAAGCGUUAAUCGGAAUUACUGGGCGUAAAGCGCACGCAGGCGGUCUGUCAAGUCGGAUGUGAAAUCCCCGGGCUCAACCUGGGAACUGCAUUCGAAACUGGCAGGCUAGAGUCUUGUAGAGGGGGGUAGAAUUCCAGGUGUAGCGGUGAAAUGCGUAGAGAUCUGGAGGAAUACCGCUGGCGAAGGCGGCCCCCUGGACAAAGACUGACGCUCAGGUGCGAAAGCGUGGGGAGCAAACAGGAUUAGAUACCCGUGUAGUC
This 464-nucleotide ribosomal RNA is filed under the name uncultured Klebsiella sp. Its description in RNAcentral is "bacterial SSU rRNA". It matches the Rfam family "Bacterial small subunit ribosomal RNA", at positions 339 to 795 of the family's 1533-position model. Lineage: Bacteria; Pseudomonadati; Pseudomonadota; Gammaproteobacteria; Enterobacterales; Enterobacteriaceae. The record is from RNAcentral.